AGGUGAGACCCCCUUCUCGUCAGGAACUUUCGGUUGCUCUAGAACUUUCCUUCGUCUUUUCAUUAUUGUAUUGCUCUCUAGAACUUUCCUUCCUCUUUUCAGUAUUAUAUUACUGUCUCCCUCAUUCCUGCGAAACUGUGUGCGUUCUGAAAGGGUUUAUCCCGUCUCGGGCUACUACAUGAACAACCGACGUUUCUCUCGGAUCCAGACACAAAGGAUCCGUUCUAGACACUGUCGAUUCGGAAUCGGCGCAGUCAAGACCUAAUUCGGUCAAAUCAGCCUGACUCCGAUCAGGUCGCAACCUGCGGUGGGUGAGUUGUGACUCACCCUAGGUCCGAACGAGUCAGUUCGAGUUGUUGACGCAAAAACCAUGGUUUUGACCCAAUUUCGUCGAGCGAAUCGAGUAAGUUUCCCACUCUCUUUCAGCUUCUACUUGUGAGGUUGAGUUGAAGAAGUAGAUUGAAAAGCUGAGUAAUUAAAGAGCAAAAAGAGCAUUGAUCAUGGCCAGUGAAGAUUGACCGACCAGCAACACUGUCACUGUGGACGUAGUUGAUGUAGGUGUAGAGUAGGCUGAUGUUGUUCACUCAAUCGUUAAAGCAGAUCGGGUAGCUGAUGAGCUAGAUGGGGUCCAUGCGGCCCAUAUUGAGCCCCACCAUUAGAUAAUAGAUUCAUGUUUUAUUUAAUGAUCCUUGUUAUUUGUAUUUGUAUAUGUCCCAUAUGGCCACCACAUUUGGAAUUUUGUGAUGAUCAAAAUAUUUUUAUACAAUGAAUGGUUUAUUCCACCAA
Molecule: long non-coding RNA, 786 nt
Organism: Magnolia sinica
Lineage: Eukaryota; Viridiplantae; Streptophyta; Magnoliopsida; Magnoliales; Magnoliaceae
Exons: 2
Source: RefSeq, a predicted model, not a curated record